UACACGAGCGGCGAACGGGUGAGUAACACGUGGGUGAUCUGCCCUGCACUUCGGGAUAAGCCUGGGAAACUGGGUCUAAUACCGGAUAUGACCUCCUAUCGCAUGGUGGGUGGUGGAAAGAUUUAUCGGUGCAGGAUGGGCCCGCGGCCUAUCAGCUUGUUGGUGGGGUAAUGGCCUACCAAGGCGACGACGGGUAGCCGACCUGAGAGGGUGACCGGCCACACUGGGACUGAGACACGGCCCAGACUCCUACGGGAGGCAGCAGUGGGGAAUAUUGCACAAUGGGCGAAAGCCUGAUGCAGCGACGCCGCGUGAGGGACGACGGCCUUCGGGUUGUAAACCUCUUUCAGCAGGGACGAAGCGCAAGUGACGGUACCUGCAGAAGAAGCACCGGCUAACUACGUGCCAGCAGCCGCGGUAAUACGUAGGGUGCAAGCGUUGUCCGGAAUUACUGGGCGUAAAGAGUUCGUAGGCGGUUUGUCACGUCGUUUGUGAAAACUCACAGCUCAACUGUGAGCCUGCAGGCGAUACGGGCAGACUUGAGUACUGCAGGGGAGACUGGAAUUCCUGGUGUAGCGGUGAAAUGCGCAGAUAUCAGGAGGAACACCGGUGGCGAAGGCGGGUCUCUGGGCAGUAACUGACGCUGAGGAACGAAAGCGUGGGUAGCGAACAGGAUUAGAUACCCU
Molecule: ribosomal RNA, 686 nt
Filed under: Nocardia globerula
Lineage: Bacteria; Bacillati; Actinomycetota; Actinomycetes; Mycobacteriales; Nocardiaceae
Description: bacterial SSU rRNA
Rfam family: Bacterial small subunit ribosomal RNA
Source: RNAcentral